RNAcentral lists this long non-coding RNA (2550 nucleotides) under Homo sapiens (human). RNAcentral's name for it is "HSALNT0269524". The record is from RNAcentral. Lineage: Eukaryota; Metazoa; Chordata; Mammalia; Primates; Hominidae.
AACACAGUUCCACUUGGCCAUUUUUGCUUUUGUUGCCUGUGCUUUUUGGUGUCAUAUCCAAGAAAUUACUGCCAAGACCAAUGUCAUAGAGUUCUGAUCUAAGUGCUUUCCAAGAUUUGAAUUAGAUGUGGUGGCAGGAGGGAGGGAGAAAAAUGAACAGAUUCCCAAAUAAUUUCAGGGUAGAGGGGAGGAGACUGAGGAUUAGUGAGACAGGAGAGGGAAAGUUCCAAUCAGGGGUGACCUCAAGAUUUCUGGCUAUAACAAAGGAGAUGGAGGUCCCAUUGAAUGGGCUGUGAAGCACAUCAGGAGCAACAGGCUGGUGGUGGCCGAGAGGGGCAGGUUCAGAUCAAAUGUUCACUCUGCAAAUAUUCACAGAGCACCUUUUACACUUAAGGCCCUCCUCCAAGUGCUGGGAGGCAGCAACAAAUACAAACAAAAAUCUCUGCUCUCAUGGAGUUUACAUUCUAGUAGGCAAAAGAAGGGAAAUAUUUAGUAUGUAUAUGACAUCCAUACAUACGUAUAAAGUAGAUGGUACUGGUGGCAGUAGCAAGGGAGAAUCCUGAGGCAAGGGUAACAUGUGAAUAAAGAGCUACAGAAUGUAGUCUUGGGUUUGGUGUGGGAUACCGUAGCUUCAGACGCCUGGGAGACACACCAAGGAGCUGUCCGACUGGGUGUCCAUGUCAGGAGCACAGGAAUGAGGUACGAGUCUCCAGUCCACAGGGCGUGGCUGAGCGACAGUGGAUGGGAGAUCAGUUGUGCUUGGGUGGAGGAGGCAGCGGCUUAGGGAGAUGUCUGUGGAACCUCCACAUUCAGCCAAGAGCCAGCAAGGAUAGAAGAGCCACAGAGGUAGCGGGUAAGAGGCUGGCAAGACAGCAGCCAGGGGAAAUGUUUCUUGUAAGAACAGUGAAUGAAGCUCUGUUCCAGUAAGAGGAUGGGUGUCCAGGGUCCCCUGGAAUUACCAAUGAGGAUGCCACUGGUAGUCACGCCAAAAACAGUUCUGGUGGAACAAUGGGGGGCAAAGGUCUCACUGAGUUAGAAAUGAGUGGGAGGUGAGGGAAUAAAGGACAUUUCAUCCAAGAUGCCCCACUGCGGAAGGAAUAGGGACGCGGGCAGUACUGGAGGAGGAUGUGGGGAUCAAGGGAGGUGUGUUUUCUAGGAUCAACUAGACUUGAGCUAGUGUCAGUGCUAAGGGAGAAGUACUACGCGGCAGGAGAGACGGGUGUAUGGGAAAGAGGUGAUACUCUGCAUACGGUUCCUGAGAAGGCUGGAGGGCAUGGGUCCCACCACAAAACUGGCCUUAGCAGGACGGCUUCCACCUCAUGGGGGAAAAGGCAGGGGAGGAGGCAAGCACGGGCAGAUUUCUAGAUCUGGCAGGAGAAAGAGGAGGAAGUUCCCAUUAGCUUCUUUUUUCUCUGAGCAAGAGCUGAUCUGAUUGGCUGAGACAAAGACUAAAGGAAGGAGAAGCUGACAAGAGUGCAGGCCCAGCAGCCCUGUGGCAAGUGGAGGAUUGAGCUAAGGUGAAAAAGCUAGCAAGCAUCUAGGCAUGAUGCAGACAGAGUUGAAGUUGGAAGCUAGGAAUUUACAAUGGAACCAACCCAUCCAGAUGUGUAAUUUUAUUCUCAAGGAAACCAAAAUAUUUUGCCCCAAAAUAGACUUCUCUGACAUAUUUCAAGAUGGCUAUACAGAAGGGCUGGAAAUAAUAGCUGAAAAGCUAUCUUUGGUGGGGAGAUCUGCAUCUGCAGAGAAAAUCGGCAUUGAUGCAGCCAGGCUUUCUCCAAGGCCCUUCCCUUGUCCUGAUUAGGGAAGAUUAACUGCAGUCUGAUGCCGUUAAAGGUCUCAGUUCUCUCCGAGGGUGCUACCUGUGGGGUUUCCUCCACAUUAACAAGACCACCUUUGCUACACAGACCUCUUCUUCUCUUCUUCCCAUAACCUGUCUUGCCACGAGAACCCAAUUUACCAUGAAAGCCUGUUUUGGGCCAUGCCCUGAGCCCCCUUCUUUCUGUGACCUCAAGAUGGUAUGAAAGCAUCAACCAUAUUGCCUUUAAGAUCGUUGUAAGACGCUGUGCACAUCAAUACAUUUGUAUGCCAUUUCUCCUAUUAAUCUGUCUUUUACCAGCUACUUUUCAGUGAACCCCUUCAGAGGGCAAAGGAGAAGUUUUCCCUUGGCCCCUACAAUUCAGUAGCACUCAGCCAUCCAGGGGCAUGUUUGGAGAAGACAUAAAUUCAGUUCAUCCAGGGAUACCUUAGUAUUACUUAAUAUUCACUCACUAAGUAUUUGUGUUUAUAUCCUUCAAUUCACCCCUCUUUGAACAUACUUACAGGUUUUACAAAGUACAACUGUAUUCCAGAUGUGAGCACAAUCUUGCAUACAACAGGUGCUAAAUACAUACUUCUUGAUUUGACUAAUGACGCACCUGAUGUUUCAGUGGAGAUUCUAUCCUCCUGAAUUCAGAAGGUUGAUUCUCUAGCUGAUAGACAAUCAGGCCCCUCUCUGCAGUUGCCACCACAGCCAUGGGGUAUAUCUAGGGAAUGGAAGAAAACAGAGAUGCG